CGGCGAGUGAGCGGCAGAGCUCAGAUUUGAAAUCGUGCUUUGCGGCACGAGUUGUAGAUUGCAGGUUGGAGUCUGUGUGGAAGGCGGUGUCCAAGUCCCUUGGAACAGGGCGCCCAGGAGGGUGAGAGCCCCGUGGGAUGCCGGCGGAAGCAGUGAGGCCCUUCUGACGAGUCGAGUUGUUUGGGAAUGCAGCUCCAAGCGGGUGGUAAAUUCCAUCUAAGGCUAAAUACUGGCGAGAGACCGAUAGCGAACAAGUACUGUGAAGGAAAGAUGAAAAGCACUUUGAAAAGAGAGUGAAACAGCACGUGAAAUUGUUGAAAGGGAAGGGUAUUGCGCCCGACAUGGGGAUUGCGCACCGCUGCCUCUCGUGGGCGGCGCUCUGGGCUUUCCCUGGGCCAGCAUCGGUUCUUGCUGCAGGAGAAGGGGUUCUGGAACGUGGCUCUUCGGAGUGUUAUAGCCAGGGCCAGAUGCUGCGUGCGGGGACCGAGGACUGCGGCCGUGUAGGUCACGGAUGCUGGCAGAACGGCGCAACACCGCCCGUCU
Molecule: ribosomal RNA, 543 nt
Filed under: Pichia kudriavzevii
Lineage: Eukaryota; Fungi; Ascomycota; Pichiomycetes; Pichiales; Pichiaceae
Description: partial large subunit ribosomal RNA
Rfam family: Eukaryotic large subunit ribosomal RNA
Source: RNAcentral